RNAcentral lists this ribosomal RNA (896 nucleotides) under Candidatus Uzinura diaspidicola. RNAcentral's name for it is "bacterial SSU rRNA". It matches the Rfam family "Bacterial small subunit ribosomal RNA", at positions 292 to 1188 of the family's 1533-position model. The record is from RNAcentral. Lineage: Bacteria; Pseudomonadati; Bacteroidota; Flavobacteriia; Flavobacteriales.
CUAAGAGGAUAACCCCCCACACUGGAACUGAGAUAAGGACCAGACUUCUACGGAAGGCAGCAGUGAGGAAUAUUGGUCAAUGGAGGAAACUCUGAACCAGCUAUGUCGCGUGUAGGAAGACAGUCUUUUAGAUUGUAAACUUCUUUUACAUAGGAAUAAAAGUUACUACGGGAUGGUAACAUGAAGGUACUAUGAGAAUAAGUGUCGACUAAUUUCGUGCCAGCAGUCGCGGUAAUACGAAAGACACAAGCGUUAUCCGGAUUUAUUGGGUUUAAAGGGUGUGUAGGUUGUUUAUUAAGUCAGUAGUGAAAGCUUACAGCUUAACUGUAAAAUUGCUAUUGAUACUAAUAAUCUUGAGUCAGAUUGGAGCAUCUGGAAUGUAUGGUGUAGCGGUGAAAUGCAUAGAUAUCAUACAGAACACCAAUAGCGAAGGCAGGAUGCUAAAUCUUCACUGACGCUGAGGCACGAAAGCGUGGGGAGCAAACAGGAUUAGAUACCCUGGUAGUCCACGCCCUAAACUAUGAUCACUAGCUAUUGGAAAAAUUAUAUUCAGUGGCCAAGCUAAAGCGAUAAGUGAUCCACCUGGGAAGUACGAUCGCAAGAUUGAAACUCAAAGGAAUUGACGGGGUUUCGCACAAGCGGUGGAGCAUGUGGUUUAAUUCGAUGAUACGCGAGGAACCUUACCAAGGUUUAAAUGUAUUCCGAAUAAGCUGGAAACAACUUAGUCUAUAAGACGUAAUACAAGGUGCUGCAUGGUUGUCUUCAGUUCGUGCUGUGAAGUGUUUGGUUAAGUCCUAUAACGAGCGCAACCCCUAUUGUUAGUUGCCAUCGGGUAAGGCCGGGGACUCUAACAAAACUGCCGAUGCAAAUCGAGAGGAAGGUGGGGAUAAUGUCAA